Long non-coding RNA from Onychostoma macrolepis, 426 nucleotides. RefSeq lists it as uncharacterized. The record is from RefSeq and is a predicted model, not a curated record. Lineage: Eukaryota; Metazoa; Chordata; Actinopteri; Cypriniformes; Cyprinidae. The transcript has 3 exons.
UCACGUGCGGUCGCUGUGGAUGCGCGAGCAGGCGGAGGUGACAGGUUGUCUGUGAGCGUCGUGAUGACACAUUUACAUGGAAAAACACUUCCAGAAAUGGCAGCCCAAAUGGUUCGGUGGAUGUCGCGGUCUGUACUUCGCAAGCAAGAAAAAAAAUCGUUCGGAGCAGGUGUUCAAACAAGAGGAUAUGCGCAAUUAAUGCAAUUAGAUGCAGCUUGGUUACCAAAAUACUGGAGUUUUCACUGAACAACUGUGAGAAGCGUUGACAUCAUCUGUUGGUGGUGUGUUUCCACUUGUUAACCAUUCGUUGUGUGAUUCACACCUAAACCUCUUUCCGGGCCUAUUCAAGCAGACCUGUUGUUCGAACUAGGGGCUUGCUGGCUGAAUCAUCUUUCAUUUUGAGCCUCAUCGGACCGAACACGAGGA